RNA transcript from Chelmon rostratus (copperband butterflyfish), 1982 nucleotides. RefSeq lists it as uncharacterized. The record is from RefSeq and is a predicted model, not a curated record. The transcript is spliced from 8 exons. NCBI's taxonomy places the organism in Eukaryota, Metazoa, Chordata, Actinopteri, Chaetodontiformes, Chaetodontidae.
CACGGAAACGUUUUAGUAGAUUGCGUUCACUUGAGGAUCGUAUGUGAUCACCGAAGACACGUUCUAAUGGCAGGCGCAAACUGGACCUCUCUUUCACCGUUUCAUCCGGUAGAAAUGAUUAAAUCUUCAAAAGAGGGGCCGACAUGUUUAAGUAAAGGUCAAACAAAUAAGACAUGCUGUUUGACUCAUGCUUAGUCUUCACUGUGCUGCGCGUGUCAAAUGCCAGGACUUCAUUCUUCCACCAGAUGGAGAUAUUAUUAUAUUUACUGUAGUUCAUGGGGACCAUAGCUCUCAUUCAUUUCCUGGUUAUGCCAUUGCCUUAAGACUCGUCCCAACAGCAUCUUAUCUUCUCUGCUGUUGCUCGGUUUGACAACAAUGACGCACCCAACGGAUUAUUUUUGCCAUUCUUCUUCAGAAAGUGGCGUCAGCCUCCAUGUGCAGGAGAGCGGCGAUGCAGGCCUCUCCUCUAACAUGGACCACCAGUUCAAUGAUAAGUACAGUGAGUGUACUUUGCCUGUAGCAGAUAAAGGCAGCUUUGUGAUACCCAUUCCUAAGCAGGAACGAGACAUCUUUGAGUGCCCGAAGAUGUCAGGAAAGAUCUGGUCACAGCCAUCGGUAUUCGGGCGUGCUGCUUGUCCAAAGGUGGAGUCACAGCCUGAGACUGCUGAGGAAAGGUUCUCAACACCACCCAUUGUAGCUGCGGGCCAAAAAAACAACUUUGUGCCACAAGCUACAUCAUUAGCCCUCUCAGAAAACAACCCGGAAGAGGAAACUGACAAGGUUUUACCCAGAACAGCAGCCAUUACAGAAGAACAGCAGGAUGUGGAGAUUGCAGUAGAAGAUAGCUGCAUCAAGGACACCAAAAUGGACACUGGGGGAAACCCAGAAAGAAAAAAAGGUCCGCCAGUGGAUUAUGGAGAAGUGAGAAACCGCCACCAUCACAGGAAAAGAGCUGCUGGGAAGACAUUCUACCUUCUCUGUGCGGUGGCUUUCAUUGUUCCAGUCUCUGAGGCCUCUGCCGGUGGGAAGUGCUUUACCUGUGUGGACAAGGACAGGUGCCCAAAGCUGAUGACCAUAUAUAGCAAUGAUGACCAUUGUUUGUACAAAGGAGCUGUCAAUCAAAAAUUUCCAGAAUGCUGUGGGAUCUCUCCACCCACUCCUAACAGUUGUGUUGUGUGCCGUGACCGAAACAACAUCACCAUCGUCUGCUCAGAGGAGGUCAGACGGGUGGAGGUGGAGGACAGCAAUGGAGAACACAUUCUGAACGUCUCUCCGGGCUGUGCACCACAGCGCACCUGUUCUGCACGUAUUGGAUUGAUUGUCAGCUCCGCUGUCUUUUUGAUCGUGGUGGCAGCGCUGGGGAUCUCGUGUGUAAGUGUGACUCAGUAUUGUAACUGAUCCAACAGCUUUCAACAUGUUCAAACUGAGACACAGAGCUAUCUCAUUCAUGUUCUUUUCCUUUUAGUGCUGCCGGAGAAACAGGACUUAAAUUAGCCAAAAAUGAAGACCGCUGCACGAUCAGAAGAAGAAGAAAGCAGUCAGAUGAGGCAAUUCUCUCACCAAGCUGUUGUUUUUCUAUCGAAUGGUCACUAGCUUUAGCUGCCAUAUGGGGGCAAUGUAGAUGCUAUAAAGAAAUUAGCUGUGUAGGGUAUUUUUAUUGUAUUCUCCUUGGUACAACUGCUGCCUUAGACCAAUAACCGUGCUGCAGCUCAUGCUUACAUGAUUAUUUUUCUGCUGAUUAUUUUCUUGAUGUUAUACUCAAAAACCUAAAUAAAAACAGGAUUAAUCGAUGAUGAAACUAACUGCAGAUUAUUUCUCUGUCCAUCAACUAACUGCUCACUUGACAAUCAGCUUUCAGGUCCACUUCAUAGCCAAUGAUAGCAAUGAUAGCAAUGAUGGCAAUGACGUUUGAAAUUAGUCAGCUUUGUGCAAAAGUGGCCUAAUGAAAAUGUGUAUAUGCUGUCUUAAUUAAAAAUUGCUUU